This 498-nucleotide ribosomal RNA is filed under the name uncultured bacterium. RNAcentral describes it as "partial 16S ribosomal RNA". It matches the Rfam family "Bacterial small subunit ribosomal RNA", at positions 28 to 507 of the family's 1533-position model. The record is from RNAcentral.
GACGAACGCUGGCGGCGUGCCUAAUACAUGCAAGUCGAGCGGACGGAUGGGAGCUUGCUCCCAGACCGUCAGCGGCGGACGGGUGAGUAACACGUGGGCAACCUGCCUGUAAGACUGGGAUAACUCCGGGAAACCGGGGCUAAUACCGGAUAACUCUUUCCCUCACAUGAGGGAAAGCUGAAAGAUGGCAUCUCGCUAUCACUUACAGAUGGGCCCGCGGCGCAUUAGCUAGUUGGUGAGGUAACGGCUCACCAAGGCGACGAUGCGUAGCCGACCUGAGAGGGUAAUCGGCCACACUGGGACUGAGACACAGCCCAGACUCCUACGGGAGGCAGCAGUAGGGAAUCUGCCGCAAUGGACGAAAGUCUGACGGAGCAACGCCGCGUGAGUGAUGAAGGUUUUCGGAUCGUAAAACUCUGUUGUCAGGGAAGAACAAGUACCGGAGUAACUGCCGGUACCUUGACGGUACCUGACCAGAAAGCCACGGCUAACUACGUG